RNAcentral lists this ribosomal RNA (402 nucleotides) under Verrucomicrobiota bacterium. Its description in RNAcentral is "Verrucomicrobia bacterium partial 16S ribosomal RNA". It matches the Rfam family "Bacterial small subunit ribosomal RNA", at positions 355 to 776 of the family's 1533-position model. The record is from RNAcentral. Lineage: Bacteria; Pseudomonadati; Verrucomicrobiota.
UGGGGAAUUUUGCACAAUGGGGGAAACCCUGAUGCAGCGACGCCGCGUGAUUUAGAAGGCCUUCGGGUUGUAAAAAUCUUUUGUAUGGGAAGAAAAUGACAGUACCAUACGAAUAAGUACCGGCUAAUUACGUGCCAGCAGCCGCGGUAAUACGUAAGGUCCGAGCGUUGUCCGGAAUCAUUGGGCGUAAAGGGUACGUAGGCGGAUAAGCAAGUUAGAAGUGAAAUCCUAUAGCUCAACUAUAGUAAGCUUUUAAAACUGCUCAUCUUGAGGUAUGGAAGGGAAAGUGGAAUUCCUAGUGUAGCGGUGAAAUGCGCAGAUAUUAGGAGGAAUACCGGUGGGGAAGGCGACUUUCUGGCCAUAUACUGACGCUGAGGUACGAAAGCGUGGGUAGCAAACAGG